RNAcentral lists this microRNA precursor (104 nucleotides) under Canis lupus familiaris (dog). Its description in RNAcentral is "mir-8834 microRNA precursor family". It matches the Rfam family "mir-8834 microRNA precursor family". The record is from Rfam by way of RNAcentral. RNAcentral also lists the same sequence under 1 other name. Lineage: Eukaryota; Metazoa; Chordata; Mammalia; Carnivora; Canidae.
AGGAGGAACAGCCCCAGUGGCGGGGCCAGGUCUGGAGCCCUGGAUUCAGCCCCCGCAGGAACUCCGGGGCUCUCCGUCUGCAGGGCUGGAGGCUCCGGGCGGGG